RNAcentral lists this ribosomal RNA (407 nucleotides) under uncultured bacterium. RNAcentral's name for it is "partial 16S ribosomal RNA". It matches the Rfam family "Bacterial small subunit ribosomal RNA", at positions 30 to 526 of the family's 1533-position model. The record is from RNAcentral.
AUUGAACGCUAGCGGGAUGCCUUACACAUGCAAGUCGAACGGAGUGGCGAACGGGUGAGUAAUGUAUCGGAACGUGCCCAGUAGCGGGGGAUAACUACGCGAAAGCGUAGCUAAUACCGCAUACUAUUUGAGCGGCUGAUCUCGGAUUAGCUAGUUGGUUGGGUAACGGCGCACCAAGGCGACGCUCCGUAGCUGGUUUGAGAGGACGACCAGCCACGCUGGGACUGGGGCACGGCCCGUACUCCUACGGGAGGCAGCAGUGGGGAAUUUUGGAGAAUGGGGGAAACCCUGAUCCAUCCAUCCCGCGUGUGCGAUGAAGGUCUUCGGUUUGUAAAGCACUUUUGGCAGGAAAGCGGUACCUGCAGAAUAAGGACCGGCUAACUACGUGCCAGCCGCCGCGGUAAUAC